Molecule: ribosomal RNA, 495 nt
Filed under: uncultured bacterium
Lineage: Bacteria
Description: partial 16S ribosomal RNA
Rfam family: Bacterial small subunit ribosomal RNA
Source: RNAcentral
GACGAACGCUGGCGGCGUGCCUAAUACAUGCAAGUAGAACGCUGAAGGAGGAGCUUGCUUCUCUGGAUGAGUUGCGAACGGGUGAGUAACGCGUAGGUAACCUGCCUGGUAGCGGGGGAUAACUAUUGGAAACGAUAGCUAAUACCGCAUAAUAGUAGAUGUUGCAUGACAUUUGCUUAAAAGGUGCAAUUGCAUCACUACCAGAUGGACCUGCGUUGUAUUAGCUAGUUGGUGGGGUAACGGCUCACCAAGGCGACGAUACAUAGCCGACCUGAGAGGGGGGUCGGCCACACUGGGACUGAGACACGGCCCAGACUCCUACGGGAGGGAGCAGUAGGGAAUCUUCGGCAAUGGACGGAAGUCUGGACGAGCAACGCCGCGUGAGUGAAGGAGGUUCUCGGGUCGUAAAGCUCUGUUGUAAGAGAAGAAAGAGUGUGAGAGUGGAAAGUUCACACUGUGACGGUAUCUUACCAGAAAGGGACGGCUAACUACGUG